UACAGAGGUCCCGAGCGUUGUUCGGAUUCACUGGGCGUAAAGGGUGCGCAGGUGGGUUGGCAAGUUUGACGUGAAAGCCCCGGGCUUAACCCGGGAAUGGCGUUGAAAACUGCUGAUCUGGAGGAUCGGAGGGGGGACUGGAAUUCUUGGUGUAGCAGUGAAAUGCGUAGAUAUCAAGAGGAACACCAGUGGCGAAGGCGAGUCCCUGGACGAUACCUGACACUGAGGCACGAAAGCCAAGGGAGCAAACAGG
Molecule: ribosomal RNA, 253 nt
Filed under: uncultured bacterium
Lineage: Bacteria
Description: partial 16S ribosomal RNA
Rfam family: Bacterial small subunit ribosomal RNA
Source: RNAcentral